AGAAACAUAGAAACAUAGACAAUAGGUGCUGGAGUAGAGGCCAUUCGGCCCUUCGAGCCUGCAACGCCAUUCAAUAUGAUCAUGGCUGAUCAUCCAACUCAGUAUCCCGUACCUGCCUUCUCUCCAUACCCUCUGAUCCCCUUAGCCACAAGGGCCACAUCUAACUCCCUCUUAAAUAUAGCCAAUGAACUGGCCUCGACUACCCUCUGCGGCAGAGAGUUCCAGAGAUUCACCACUCUCUAUGUGAAAAAGGUUCUUCUCAUCUCGGUUUUAAAGGAUUUCCCCCUUAUCCUUAAGCUGUGACCCCUUGUCCUGGACUUCCCCAACAUCGGGAGCAAUCUUCCUGCAUCUAGCCUGUCCAACCCCUUAAGAAUUUUGUAAGUUUCUAUAAGAUCCCCUCUCAAUCUCCUAAAUUCUAGAGAGUAUAAACCAAGUCUAUCCAGUCUUUCUUCAUAAGACAGUCCUGACAUCCCCAGGAAUCAGUCUGGUGAACCUUCUCUGCACUCCCUCUAUGGCAAUAAUGUCCUUCCUCAGAUUUGGAGACCAAAACUGUACGCAAUACUCCAGGUGUGGUCUCACCAAGACCCUGUACAACUGCAGUAGAACCUCCCUGCUCCUAUACUCAAAUCCUUUCGCUAUGAAAGCUAACAUACCAUUCGCUUUCUUCACUGCCUGCUGCACCUGCAUGCCUACUUUCAAUGCCUGGUGUACCAUGACACCCAGGUCUCGCUGCAUCUCCCCUUUUCCUAGUCGGCCGCCAUUUAGAUAAUAGUCUGCUUUCCUGUUUUUGCCACCAAAAUGGAUAACCUCACAUUUAUCCACAUUAUACUGCAUCUGCCAAACAUUAGCCCACUCACCCAGCCUAUCCAAGUCACCUUGCAGUCUCCUAGCAUCCUCCUCACAGCUAACACUGCCCCCCAGCUUAGUGUCAUCCGCAAACUUGGAGAUAUUGCCUUCAAUUCCCUCAUCCAGAUCAUUAAUAUAUAUUGUAAAUAGCUUGGGUCCCAGUACUGAGCCUUGCGGUACCCCACUAGUCACUGCCUGCCUAAUGAAGAACUCAACCAUAUUAUGGUCACUCUUGGUACAAUGAAAUUAUUGGCUUUGCUUCAGCACAAGAGAACAUAGUAGGCAUUGAAUACAAAACAGAUCUGUGUGUCCAUACACCAUUAUAUAAAUAUAUACACACAUGAAUAAAUAAACUGAUAAAGUGCAAAUAACAGAUACUGGGCUAUUAAUGUUCAGAGUUUUGUCAGAGCCAAGUUUAAUAGCUUGAUGGCUGUGAGGAAGUUGCUAUCACUGAACCUGGUUGUUGCAGUCUUCAGGCUCCUGUACCUUCUACCUGAAGGUAGCAGGGAGAUGAGUGUGUGGCCAGGAUGGUGUGGGUCCUUGAUGAUACUGCCAGCCUUUUUCAGGCAGAGACUGCGAUAAAUCCCCUCGAUGAAAGGGAGUUCAGAGCCGAUGAUGGACUGGGCAGUGUUUACUACUUUUUGUAGUCUUACUCUAUGGGUGCUCAAGUUGCGUAACCAGGCCACGAUGCAACCGGUCAGCAUGCUCUCUACUGUGCACCUGUAGAAGUUAGAGAGAGUCCUCAUUGACAAACCGACUCUCCGUAAUCUUCUACGGUAGAGGCGCUGAUGUGCUUUCUUAAUAAUUGCACCAGUGUUCUCGGACCAGGAAAGAUCUUCAUAGAUGUGCACACACAGGAAUUUGAAGCUCUUGACCCUUUCAACCAUCCACCCGUUGAUAUAAACGGGACUGUGGGUCACCAUCCUACUCCUUCCAAAGUCCACAAUUAUUUCCGUGGGUUUGCUGGUGUUGAGGGCCAGGUUAUUGUGCUGGCACCAUAUGGACAGUUGCUCGAUCUCUCUUCUAUACUCUGACUCAUCCCCAUCAGUGAUACGUCCCACAACAGUGGUGUCAUCAGCGAACUUGAUGAUGGAGUUCGGAUUAUGACUGGCUAUGCAGUCAUCAAUAUAGAGUGAGUGCAGCAGGGGGCUGAGCUCGCAGCCUUGAGGUGCUCCCGUGCUGAUAGUUAUCGAGUCUUAACACAUUUCCACCAAUACGAACAGACUGUGGUCUGAGAAUGAGGAAGUUGAGGAUCCUAUUGCAGAGGGAUGCGCAGAAACCCACUUCCGCGAGUUUGGUAACCAGCUUGGAGGGGAUGUAUGUAUUAAAUGCCGAGAUGUACUCAAUGAAUAAGAGCCUGACAUAUUAGUUUUUGUUGUCCAAGUGGUCCAGAGCACAGUGGAGGGCCAGCGAGAUUGCGUCCACCGUUGAUCUGUUGUGGCAGUAAGCGAACUGCAGUGGGUCUAGGUUUUUGAUGCCCUUUUGAAGCAGGUGGGAACCUCAGACCUCGGAAGUGAGAGAUUGCAAAUGUCCGUAAAAACUCCAGCCAGUUGGUCCGCACAGGUUGUUUAUCUACGUAGUUUUGAUUGUUACCCAUACAAAAUCGUGCCAAUGACGAUUUAUUUAUCUAUAUUACUAUAUUACUCCACGGCAAGCCCCCUUGAUGUGGUUGCAAAGUGUUUGCCAAAUUGUCUUGGCUUUUAAAGACUCUUCAGAAAAUGUGUUGGCUACUUGCAAAGUGUUUGCCAAAUUGUCUUGGCUUUUAAAGACUCUUCUGAAAAUGUGUUGGCUGCUUGCAAAGUGUUGGACUGAUUGGCUUGGCUCUUAAAAUCGUCGCAACAGUAUGCAGUAUGCGGAUGGAUAAAGCGGCAAUGUGGUGCUGAGUGGGUACUUUCAGGUUCGUGGCAAGAUGGCGCUGACUGCAGAAGGCACCGAGUGAAGACACCGCUGAAUAAUUCAAGAGAGCUGACUACUCUGUCAAUGAGACAUAAAGAUGCAGUGAGCAGCAACAAGAGGCACAGCAAGAAAGAAUUAUACUCAUCUUUGACAUUUAAAAUGUUGUUAUAUUUUAAGAGAUGUUAAACUUUAAUAAAUCAUUUUUCCACUUUUCAUGCCUGCGUGUUCUUCAUCACAAUGGGAACCUAAUGGGCAGGAAUGGAUACUCUGUGGGAGUAUCUUGCUUCUGCCCAAAGAUAGGAUCUUCCCUUCGGCCUCUGCACAGAUCCUAUAGUGGAGCAAACAAACAUAGAAAAUAGAUGCAGGAGGAGUCAAUUUGGCCCUUCAAGCUAGCACCGCCAUUCAUUGUGAUCGUGGGUGAUCGUCCCCUAUCAAUAACCCGUGCCUGCCUUCUCCCCAUAUUCCUUGACUUCACUAGCCGCUAGAGCUCUAUCUAACUCUCUCUUAAAUCCAUCCAGUGACUAGGCUUCCACUGCCCUCUGUGGCAGGGAAUUCCAUAAAUUCACACAUUUCUCUGGGUGAAAAAGUUUCUUCUCACCUUAGUCUUAAAUUACCUGCCCUUUAUUCUAAGACUGGCCCCUGGUUCUGGACUCACCCAACAUUGGGAACAUUUCUCCUGCAUCUAGCUUGCCCAGUCCUUUAAUAAUUUAAUAUGUUUCUAUAAGAUUCCCCCUCAUCCUUCUAAACUCCAGUGAAUACAAGCCUAGUCUUUUCAAUCUUUACUCAUAUACAGUCCCACCAACCCAGGGAUCAAUCUCGUAAACCUACGCUGCAGAAGAACCUCUUCACUCUAUACUGAAAUCCUCUUGUUAUGAAGGCCAACAUUCCAUAGCUUUCUUUACUGCCUGCUGUACCUCUAAGCCAACUUUCAGUGGCCGGUGUACAAGGACGCCCAGGUCUCGCUGCACAUCCCCCUUACCUAACCUAAAUCUAUUGAGAUAAUAAUCAGCCCCCUUGUUUUUGCCUUCAAAGUGGAUAACCUCACAUUUAUCUAUAGUAUACUGCACAUGCCAUGCAUCUUCCCACUCACUCAACCUGUCCAGGUCACCCUGCAACCUCCUAACAUCCUCUUCACAGUUCACACUGCCACCCAGCUUUGUGUCAUUUGCAAACUUGCGAGUGUUGCUCCUAAUUCACUCUUCCAAAUCAUUAAUAUAUAUGGUAAACAGUUGCGGCCCCAAUAACAAACCUUACGGCACUCCACUCGACACUGCCUGCCAUUCUGAAAAGGACCCGUUCACUCCUACUCUUUGCUUCCUGUCUACCAAUCAAUUUUCUAUCCAUGUGAUCACCCUACCACCAAUACCAUGUGCUCAAGAUGGACCACUCCUGCAAAAAACAAUCGGCAAUCGGCAAUGUGGGCAAUACGACUUGUCUUUCUUCAGGUUCCCCAUUAAGGAGGAAAGGUAAGAAAACAUUUAUUACUUCUGGUUAGUUCAUUGAGCUCAGAUAGUUGAGUCCUCAUGGCAACAUCCUUGUAGAAAUCUUCUCAAGAGCAUUUUCUUUCUACAUCUCUGUUAUUUAAUGCAGAAUAAGAGCAUAUUGACUGCAGAUAUUUUCUGUAAUUUCAGAUGUCGACAUUGGACAUGAUCUACACCGAACUGCGGAGUAUUUGUGAAAUAACUGCCCUCUUAUGUACAUUGUGUGAAAUUGUGAUUUGCUAACUGCACAAAUAUAAUGCGAAUGGCGAUUUAUUUAUUAUUGUAUCUAUGUUGGACAUUUUGCUGUUUGGUGAAGCAGGGGUGGGGCUAUCAUUGUGUUACAUACGUUAAAUUGUACAUCACUUUCACUGGUUAGCUGAUAUGCUGAACUGCAACCCUGUAUAACUCGCGCACAGAAUAAUGUGAAUUGUGUAAAUCUUAUCCCAACGGGUCCCACUUAGUCUAUUGAUUGUGUAUAAGCUGCAAAUUUUGUCCUUUGUUUGAAAUGUGUAGAAUGUGACAUCACUUUUAUUGAUUAUCUGAUAUUCUAAAUUCUGCAAAUUCUGCAAGCCUGUAUAUGUCGUGCACAAAAUGAUGUAAAUAAAAAUUGUUUUCCUGUUUAAGAA
Long non-coding RNA from Leucoraja erinaceus (little skate), 4849 nucleotides. RefSeq lists it as uncharacterized. The record is from RefSeq and is a predicted model, not a curated record. Lineage: Eukaryota; Metazoa; Chordata; Chondrichthyes; Rajiformes; Rajidae. The transcript is spliced from 2 exons.